Molecule: unclassified non-coding RNA, 376 nt
Filed under: Hevea brasiliensis (rubber tree)
Lineage: Eukaryota; Viridiplantae; Streptophyta; Magnoliopsida; Malpighiales; Euphorbiaceae
Source: RNAcentral
UUUUUACUCUCUUUAAGUUUCUACACAUUUGUUGCCACCUCUAUCAAGAACAAGAAUGGCCACCAAACUUGGAUUCAGUAUAACAAGCUCUAAACUUUUUCAUGCCCCUUUUAAAAGACCAAUCUUUUCUGCUUCUUCUUCACCAAGACCCCCAUUGAUCCCUUUUGGUGUCAGUAGAAAGUUGUCUAUUAGAAGAAAGUUGUUGGUUCUUUCCCCUAAGGCUGCUGCUGACCAGCCAGGUCAGGUCAAAGAAGAAGAGGAAGAGGACACUAAGAUUUUGCAGUAUUGUAGUCUUGACAGGAAACAAAAGAAAUCUAUGGGUGAAAUGGAACAAGAGUUUCUCCAAGCACUACAAGCAUUCUAUUAUGAAGGAAAG